GGCAAGACGGAAAGACCCCGUGAACCUUUACUAUAGCUUGACACUGAACAUUGAGCCUUGAUGUGUAGGAUAGGUGGGAGGCUUUGAAGUGUGGACGCCAGUCUGCAUGGAGCCGGCCUUGAAAUACCACCCUUUAAUGUUUGAUGUUCUAACGUGGACCCGUGAUCCGGGUUGCGGACAGUGUCUGGUGGGUAGUUUGACUGGGGCGGUCUCCUCCUAAAGAGUAACGGAGGAGCACGAAGGUUGGCUAAUCCUGGUCGGACAUCAGGAGGUUAGUGCAAUGGCAUAAGCCAGCUUGACUGCGAGCGUGACGGCGCGAGCAGGUGCGAAAGCAGGUCAUAGUGAUCCGGUGGUUCUGAAUGGAAGGGCCAUCGCUCAACGGAUAAAAGGUACUCCGGGGAUAACAGGCUGAUACCGCCCAAGAGUUCAUAUCGACGGCGGUGUUUGGCACCUCGAUGUCGGCUCAUCACAUCCUGGGGCUGAAGUAGGUCCCAAGGGUAUGGCUGUUCGCCAUUUAAAGUGGUACGCGAGCUGGGUUUAGAACGUCGUGAGACAGUUCGGUCCCUAUCUGCCGUGGGCGCUGGAGAACUGAGGGGGGCUGCUCCUAGUACGAGAGGACCGGAGUGGACGCAUCACUGGUGUUCGGGUUGUCAUGCCAAUGGCACUGCCCGGUAGCUAAAUGCGGAAGAGAUAAGUGCUGAAAGCAUCUAAGCACGAAACUUGCCCCGAGAUGAGUUCUCCCUGAGACUUA
Molecule: ribosomal RNA, 751 nt
Filed under: Salmonella enterica subsp. enterica serovar Schwarzengrund
Lineage: Bacteria; Pseudomonadati; Pseudomonadota; Gammaproteobacteria; Enterobacterales; Enterobacteriaceae
Description: partial 23S ribosomal RNA
Rfam family: Bacterial large subunit ribosomal RNA
Source: RNAcentral